Long non-coding RNA from Monomorium pharaonis (pharaoh ant), 3293 nucleotides. RefSeq lists it as uncharacterized. NCBI's taxonomy places the organism in Eukaryota, Metazoa, Arthropoda, Insecta, Hymenoptera, Formicidae. The record is from RefSeq and is a predicted model, not a curated record. The transcript is spliced from 2 exons.
GAGAGGAACGAAGCGUCGCGUCGCGUCGCAUUGCCGGUGAAAAACGGAUGGAGGAAACAAGUGAUGGCUAAUCGUCGGCUGAAAGAAUCGCGAAUCUGGCAGAGGUCGAUACACCCCUGUUCCUACUCGGAUUCUGCCAUCUCGACCGUCCCUGCGCGGUUCAGCCGCGCACACAUGGAUUGGCGCAUACGUACGCAAAAAUUGUAAGAGAAAGAAAGAGAAGAAAAAAAGGGUGUGCGCGAGAAGACGAGGAGAGACACGGGAAAAAGAGCGAGAUGUUCCAACAAAAUGAAGAAGAAAAAUAGAGAAGCUUGCUGAAAGGAGCGAGAGAAAAGAGAUACAUACGCGAGAAAGGUGGAAGACGAGUGGACAGUGUGAUGUAUAUACGUAUAAGAAAACUUUGAAACGAGGCGAACGGAUGGCGAAGGGUGGUCUACCAUACGGAGAGUACAGAGAGUUGGCUCACUGGAGAGAAAGUAAGACAAAUAAAUGGCGUUAGUGUGAUCACGUACUCGAAGAUCCUCUGGGACGAUAGGAAGAAGAGAAAGAGAAAAAGAGCUUCAAAUAACGGAGUUGUAAGGGUUAAGGACGAGGAGAAUCAAGGGACAGCAAUGGAUAGGAACAUAACGAUCGACAAAGAAUGUAGCGGUGCGGAUAAAUGAGAGACAGAGAAAGAAACUGAGAGAGGGAGAGCCUGAAAGAGAGCGAAAGAGAGAGAGAGAGAGAGAGAGAGAGAGAGAGAGAGAAAAGGAUGAGGGCAAAUUUAUAGCCCCGGCGCGCUUGCAUCCUCGAAAAUUCGACAAGGACGUAGUCCAAAGAGAAAAACAAAACGUUUCGAACGAAGUUGAGGUGCGGAUAAUGUGAGACGGCUAAAAGAAGCGGAGCGAUUUAUGGGCGGAAUAUUAAAACUGAAGAGAAAUAAAUAUCCGUAAUACGCUUUUCGCGAAGGUUUAUCAGAGCUUAUGUGUGUGCAAGAGAGCGAAAAUUGAAAACGAUUCAAAUUAACCGACAUAAGGAAAAAUUAUUUUUAGUAAAUGAGCAAGAGGCUAAACGUAACUGAAAUGGAGAAAAAGAGAGAGAGAGAGAGAGAGAGAGGGAGGGAGGGAAAGAACGUUUUCAUAUCGACGAAAAUGAGACAAAUAAAUAGCAUAAUUGUGUGUGAGCGAGUUGACAGAGAAGAAGCAUUCGGGAUCAGGAAGUGAAUCCAAAUAGGAUGAAAAGAUAAACAGUAUCACGGUAGAGAACAGCGUAAUUGAUGCGAAUAAAUGGAUAUUAAAGCGUAAAACAACGAUCAAAGCAAGACAAUCGAAUCCUUGCGCGUUCUCGGUUGGAAAAUUGGAAGAACUGCACUGAAAAGAUCAUGAUGUCACGACUGGCGUGGAAACGGUGAAAGAUAGUCACGUUAAACAAGGGCAAUGCCACGGCAAAAAAGAGAUUACAUUGGGAAUGAAUAUCGAAUCAAUAUUUGCAGCAAGAUAUAUACUCUCUUCACUUAUCCAACGGGGAACGAAUCAAUCACAUAGUUUUUACAUUUUAAUGAAUUUUGUUCUAUGUACAGAAUAGUCCAGAUAUAUUUCUGGUAAUUGUUUGCAAAAGAAAUCAAUCGAAGAAACGUUCGACUUUAAAAUUGGCCAAAACGAUGGCAGGAGAUUUCAAGUUUAAAUAAAGUUUUUUCGAAAAAUUAACCCCAGUAAAUAACAGAGUAAAGAAAAAUAAUGAUGCAGCUGAAAUGAGUAUCGAGUGGGAAGGUCUUGAAAGACUGAAACGAUUAAAUAACGAAAGAUGAAAGAUGUGAAAGGGAUAUCUCAAGGUGUAUGUGGAAACAUAUAUCAGCUUAGAUGUCUGCGUGCGAACGCAAUACGCACACAGGGGCGCCCUCUACUGUGACGUCACAAGGGCGGGGUUCUCUCGUUAAAGGCACUCUGCUUGCAUCGUCGCUCAGCGAAAGGGUGUGCAACAUGUGGGAUGAGGUUGAUGGUGUGCUGGUCGACCGACAGGCACAUCGUCGCCAGUAUCGUCCUGAAAAGUAAUGUCGCUCUAAGAACAUUCCCUUGCCCUUCGGCAAGUAGUUGCGACGACGCUUUGCUGUCAAGGGUGAAAAGUGGGCCACACGUGUUGUCGUUAUUCUCGGGAAAUACAGACAUACCUCACAAACCUCAGACUAUUAUCCCGCGGUUUCUCUUCAUUCUUUGUUACUACUUAAUGGCGAAUUAAAUACAGCCAUUGCUUCUGCAGGGGAAAAAUGUCCGCAAAAAGGUUUUGAUCCGCCCGGUAGUUACGGCACUUAAAGAGCGCGAGAAUCAGAGUUAAUAGCAGAUGCUUUGAAUGUGCGCACCCUGCCGCAUUUUAUGAAGUCAUUAAGAGGUUAUUGCGGGGUGACAUUUUCACGUAUAGAAUAUAUUACUUUAACACUGCUUUGUUAUGUUUGCUACGGUCGAAAAUUCACUUUGAUUAAAUAAAAUCCUUCGGAAUAUCUUUUAAAAAAUAAUUAUUAUACGAAAAUAUUUCUGUUAUAAACAUGAAAUUGUUAUAGAGGCAACAUUUUCGAGCUCAAGAACGAAAUGUCACGUAUAAUUUGGAUCGCGUUUGGUCGCGAUUUUGACAUAAUGGAACUCAAAUGCGAUAAGACGGCCGAACACAAGGCAUUUGCCGUAAAUGCACGUAACAAUUUUUUCUGCAGCGAAAAAGAGCGGUUCUCCGCGUCUAAUGAUAUUUCUACCUGCAUUCGACAGCAAGUACUGGGUACAUGGUUCAUGCAUCUAUCCGAAAUUCUAAAUUAUCAUCUGAAAUUUGAAAAGCUUUAAUUUUCAAUCUUUUAUCCGCACGCUAAGUUAAAAGAAUAUAUCGCGAUAGAAUAUUAGAUGUACCUAGUAUGUCAUACGUACGAAAAAACGCAUACAGAUCGAGAGACGGAUCCAUAAUAGAAAUCCCGUUUAGCAGAAUGUUUGAGAUUCUUAGAACGGACGGCGACUUAUGUACACGUCACGAGAAAGCGCAAUCGGUCGGUUACAGAGGUAUCGAGUCUUGCGAUCGACUACGAUCUGGUCGUUCUACGAGAGGAACUACGAAGAGGUAUGUUGGAAAAUCCUUAGUGCAUCCCCACGGAACUACGACUAAAGAUCGAUCACGAUCGCACCCACGAAACAGGCAUCGUCGAGCUCGACGAUCGCGGUGCAAUUGCGGAAGUAAAUUCUGUAGUAGAGGGAAACGGAUGAUUUGUUUCGAGUGUGUGUCGGAAGCUUCGAGACAUAGGGAUGCAAUAAUGGAUCUAGAGAGAUAGAUAGAAAGAGAAA